Long non-coding RNA from Dipodomys spectabilis (banner-tailed kangaroo rat), 667 nucleotides. RefSeq lists it as uncharacterized. The record is from RefSeq and is a predicted model, not a curated record. The transcript is spliced from 3 exons. NCBI's taxonomy places the organism in Eukaryota, Metazoa, Chordata, Mammalia, Rodentia, Heteromyidae.
UCAACAGGGACAUGGUCAACUAGAUGUAUUUGAUUAUUUUUGUUUUAUUAGAUAUUCUUGAGACAGCCCCACUGAAGGCCCCUGAUAACUUGAUGUGUUUGAAAUUCCUCUUGGUUUACCAUUCCCUAGAACUCAUCCUUCUGGGCCUGUGUGGGGUUCUCAGCUUGUCUCUGCUUGGAGUUCACAUGCAUCAGGACUCUCUCUCUUCUGUGUAGAUGGGAUGGCUUCUAACUGGAUUGCCUGACUCUUGGGAAAAGUAACAGCUUGAGAUGGAGCAACCAGCAAGCAGCUUCUCAGCAGAAGGCCCAGGAGAAGAGGAAGCCACAGUGUAGUUUGCUGAGCCCCUGUUCGGAGGAAGAAGUGCCACACUAUCCAUCCUGUUUGUUUAAUGACACUCUGAACACGGAAUCCAGGCAGAGUCCCCUCCCCAAGGAAGGCCCACAUCAGGACAGAGUCCACAGAGAGCCAAGAGGAAAUGCUGGAGGAGACAACGCUGGAUCUGCACAGCAGGAAGAAGCGUCUCUUUGUUGUGUGAGUAAAUUAACCAGAAUCAUUGUCCACUUCUCAUGUAACCUAUCCCUUAGUUUGGCCUUCCUAGUUCACUAAUCUCUUGACACCUCUGUAAACUGCUGUUUGGAUUUCCAAAUAUUGACUGCAAACAACAACA